RNAcentral lists this ribozyme (106 nucleotides) under Aedes aegypti (yellow fever mosquito). RNAcentral describes it as "drz-agam-1 ribozyme". It matches the Rfam family "drz-agam-1 ribozyme". The record is from Rfam by way of RNAcentral. Lineage: Eukaryota; Metazoa; Arthropoda; Insecta; Diptera; Culicidae.
UGCCCAGCAACUCCUAUCCCUACCUCCUCGCGGUACUGACCGGGGAACGAGUAACCUUAGGGAACCAACCCCGGUGGAAACUCUGGUCGUAUGCUGACAGGGAAGU